UUUUUGAAAAUAAUUUAAAGUCUAAUCUGCCCACUGAUAAAAUAUUAAAGGGCUGCAGUAUUUUGACUGUACAAAGGUAGCAUAAUCAAUAGUCUCUUAAUUGGUGACUUGUAUGAAAGAUUGGAUGAGAUAUAAACUGUCUCUAAUUGAUUUAUAAAAAUUAAUUUUUUAGUAAAAAAGCUAAAAUAAUUUUAAAAGACGAGAAGACCCUAUAGAGUUUAAUAUUUUAUUUAAUAAUUAUUAAUAUAUGUAAUUUUAAAAAUUAAAAUUAAAUGAAAUAUUUUGUUGGGGUGAUAAAAAAAUUAAAUUAACUUUUUUUGAUUGUAAACAUUAAUUUAUGAUUAAAUGAUCCAUUUAUAGUGAUUAAAAGAAAAAAUUACCUUAGGGAUAACAGCGUAAUUUUUUUUUUUAGUUCAAAUAGGAAAAAAAGUUUGCGACCUCGAUGUUGGAUUAAGAUAAAAUUUAAAUGCAAAAGUUUAAAAUUUUGAUC
RNAcentral lists this ribosomal RNA (490 nucleotides) under Papilio aegeus. Its description in RNAcentral is "partial LSU rRNA". Lineage: Eukaryota; Metazoa; Arthropoda; Insecta; Lepidoptera; Papilionidae. The record is from RNAcentral.